GACGAACGCUGGCGGCGUGCUUAACACAUGCAAGUCGAGCGGUAAGGCCCUUUCGGGGGUACACGAGCGGCGAACGGGUGAGUAACACGUGGGUGACCUGCCCUCAGCUCUGGGAUAAGCCUGGGAAACCGGGGUCUAAUACCGGAUAUGACUCCAUGACGCAUGUUGUGGGGUGGAAAGCCUUGUGCGGCUGAGGAUGGGCCCGCGGCCUAUCAGCUUGUUGGUGGGGUGAUGGCCUACCAAGGCGACGACGGGUAGCCGGCCUGAGAGGGCGACCGGCCACACUGGGACUGAGACACGGCCCAGACUCCUACGGGAGGCAGCAGUGGGGAAUCUUGCGCAAUGGGCGAAAGCCUGACGCAGCGACGCCGCGUGAGGGAUGACG
This 385-nucleotide ribosomal RNA is filed under the name uncultured bacterium. Its description in RNAcentral is "bacterial SSU rRNA". It matches the Rfam family "Bacterial small subunit ribosomal RNA", at positions 28 to 413 of the family's 1533-position model. The record is from RNAcentral.